This 474-nucleotide ribosomal RNA is filed under the name uncultured bacterium. RNAcentral's name for it is "bacterial SSU rRNA". It matches the Rfam family "Bacterial small subunit ribosomal RNA", at positions 355 to 826 of the family's 1533-position model. The record is from RNAcentral.
UCGAGAAUCUUUCGCAAUGCCCGAAAGGGUGACGAAGCGACGCCGCGUGCGGGAAGAAGGCCUUCGGGUUGUAAACCGCUGUCGGGAGUUAAGAAAUGCAAGGAUGUUAAUAGCAUCUUUGUUUGACUAAGGCUCCGGAGGAAGCCACGGCUAACUCUGUGCCAGCAGCCGCGGUAAUACGUAGGGGGCAAGCGUUGUCCGGAUUCACUGGGUGUAAAGGGCGCGCAGGCGGGUUAGCAAGUCAGAGGUGAAAUCCUACAGCUUAACUGUAGAACUGCCUUUGAGACUGCUAAUCUUGAGUACGGAAGAGAGAGAUGGAAUUCCAGGUGUAGUGGUGAAAUACGUAGAUAUCUGGAAGAACACCAGUGGCGAAGGCGGUCUCUUGGUCCUAUACUGACGCUAAGGCGCGAAAGCCAGGGGAGCAAACGGGAUUAGAUACCCUCGUAGUCCCUGAGCGGGCUGGCAAGGCGCCAU